This 253-nucleotide ribosomal RNA is filed under the name uncultured bacterium. RNAcentral's name for it is "partial 16S ribosomal RNA". It matches the Rfam family "Bacterial small subunit ribosomal RNA", at positions 524 to 776 of the family's 1533-position model. The record is from RNAcentral.
UACGAAGGGGGCUAGCGUUGUUCGGAAUUACUGGGCGUAAAGCGCACGUAGGCGGACUAUUAAGUCAGGGGUGAAAUCCCGGGGCUCAACCUCGGAACUGCCUUUGAUACUGGUAGUCUCGAGUCCGGAAGAGGUGAGUGGAAUUCCGAGUGUAGAGGUGAAAUUCGUAGAUAUUCGGAGGAACACCAGUGGCGAAGGCGGCUCACUGGUCCGGUACUGACGCUGAGGUGCGAAAGCGUGGGGAGCAAACAGG